AGUGGGAUAAUUGAGUCAAAUGGUGGUUCCAUUUCAAAUUUCCGAGCAAUCUCCAUACUGCUUUCCAGAGUUGUUUCACCAAUUUGCAUUCCCACCAGCAAU
RNAcentral lists this microRNA precursor (102 nucleotides) under Marmota monax (woodchuck). Lineage: Eukaryota; Metazoa; Chordata; Mammalia; Rodentia; Sciuridae. The record is from RNAcentral.